Long non-coding RNA from Dromaius novaehollandiae (emu), 3791 nucleotides. RefSeq lists it as uncharacterized. NCBI's taxonomy places the organism in Eukaryota, Metazoa, Chordata, Aves, Casuariiformes, Dromaiidae. The record is from RefSeq and is a predicted model, not a curated record. The transcript is spliced from 8 exons.
GCUGGGUGUUGCAGCCUGACAGCCAUGAAAUGGUGGUGGUGAGGAGCGUUGGCGUUGCCUGGGUGCAUAGGCUGAGGCUUUCUGCCUUCCUCAAGAACUGCAGUUCUCCCAGGGCCUUUCAGCUUGGCUGCCCAAGCGCACAGGACGGGGGUAUCGCUUAUCUGAGAAACCCACAGGGGAAAAAAAACCCUCCUGAUUCAGGAGAGAAGCAAGUUUUGAAAUAAGAGCAUUUUCUGCAAGCUUAAAAUUCCGGAGUUUGACUCAGGGUGUAGCUAGAAUGUAACUGAGCUGUUUCUUUCCACCACCCAUCCCCGGUCUGGUCACAUCCCUUCAUAAGCUCCAUACAUGAGGAGGAGGCACUCUAAGCUGGAGUCCAGCUCCUGACAAGACCAGCGAGAGUUUCAACUGAGACAGACUUCAGGAUGUGGCCUGUUUAAUUUUUAACAAAUAUCACAGCGUGGGCCUUUUUCCAAAUGCUAAGGGCACUGGUUUUUUUGGAAGGAAGAAGAAGAGGAAAAAAAAGCCCCUAAUUGUAUUGUAUUUGUUGCCCAUCCCCCAACAAAUGCAGAUUAUAUGGUUCAAAACCACAGUAAGCACAAAACUAUCAGAAGAUUUCAGCCAUGCACAUCAUGAAAAAUUCUACAGAUGUAUCUAAAAGGUUCUUUUGGCUCAGCUGACUCUCUGAGAGUAUUAAAGCAUAGGAUUUCUACUUCUGCUUAAGGAUCCUUUGGCACAAAAUCAAGGCUCUGGAGCACAGAUCUUAUUUUUGAAACAAUCCGACAUAGCAACGUUUGACCUGCAUCCUGGGAAGAUGGAACUCCGUUCCUGAUGAGGCAGCAGCACUGCAGUGCCAGACGCCUCCAAGGAGAGAAGCUGUACUGUCCAUCGGGAUCCAGGGACGUGAGAAGCACCCGGGAGGAGGAGACACUGCACUUUCUUCUGACCCCCAUGCACUGAUGCAGUGCAACCUUCAAAGAUGUUCUUGAGUUGUACUUAUCCAAGCAUUACAUUUGGCCUGCUGGUCUUACAGUACAUUUAUUUCAACUUCUUGCACAGGCAGGGAUUUUCCAAAGCAGGUACCAUUUCAAUGGAGAAAAUACAAGAACUGAAAUACAUCCGGAUGGGCCUGAAACAUCUCAAACAUUCUUCAUUUUAAGUAGUCUGUACUCAGGGCGGUGGUACAAAAUACUCUAAUUUAUACUCAGGCCUGAAGUGUAAUGAGGAGGAGUUGGAAGGAAGAUUGAAAGGAAGACUCUUUGUCCAGGAAAGAAAAGAUUUGGAAAAGUGGAAAAUAAACUGAAGUCCUGUAUGUUCAAGAGACCAGAAAAACAUAAUGGUCUGAGCAAUAGGCUUAUGGAGGAGAUUAUCAGUUACUCAGAUGCACAGAACUCUUCAUGGACAACAUGAGACCGCAUUAAUACCAGCUCAGCAGCAAUUAGCACAGCAGAAUUAGUGAUACCCUAUUGUUUUAUUGAAGAAGCCUCUGUUGGCGUUCUCUGUAGACAUCACUAUUUAACAUUACUGACAAAGAGAAGCAGGUUAUUGAGGGAGGAGGGAGAUGCGACUAGGUAUAGCUUAUAAUGAUGUGAAUGGGUAUUUGAAGUUUUAGAGUCCUUUUACCUUUUAACCCCCAUUGAAAUGCACUGAACUAGAGGGAAGGACAGCAUGGAAGACAUUAACAUUUUGGUUUAACAAUAGAGACAAUUGCUGGGGCUUAGAAAAGGUGCAAUGAUCCAUGAAUGUACAAUGAGAAUUUAAAAACCUGCUGUACUGAAUGAAGUGUGCACUAUUCAAAAACUGUUGAUCUAUGCAAAAUUAUUAAACAACACAUGAGAUCUGCCAGGAUUUCAGUCCCAGGUGCAGAACAGCUGCUCUCAUUCACUUUCAGGCAUGCGGUGCAGGGGCGUUCCUGCUGGAGAUGACAAGUUUGGCGGGUGCAUAGGUUGAAAGAGGAGGAUCGAAGAAGGUGGGUGUGCUUAGAGACUCCAGCCUGCUGCUUGGCCUGACAUAAUUCAGGCUGAGUAAUAACUGCUCUGCCUCCGUGGUGAUGGUGCAGCUGCUAGGAUGGGCAGAUGUUCAGGCAUUGCAUUCUUAUUGAUUAUGUACAGUGAAUGCUGCAAGUGACUGGGGGGAGGCUAAUAGCAGUACAUGGUUCCUGCCAAAAUGUUUUCUGCUCCAUGCGCAAAGAACCUUUGGUAAUUAGCUGAGCUUUUAACGGCACUUUUCCUACAAAAAUCAAGCUGAGAAAUUCCAUAGGAAUUAAAAGUUAAUGUUUCUGCUCUCCCCACUGGUUUUAUCAUCAUCAUGUGCAGACUAAGAAAUAGCAAUCGUUUUCAUGAGGUCAGAUCAAUGGCCACAUUAAGACGCUGUCAUUUUUGAAAGACAAGGGAACGCCUUUGUUUGCAGUACCUGGAAUGGACAGUGGUCGGUCCAUCAGGAUUGUCAGCUCCCCAGCACAAAGAGAAAUGAUGCUUGAUACCAAUAAGUAAUGGAUAGAAGUGGCUAUGUUGCUAUUGGUCUUAGCAAAGACAUCUCUACAGUCAGUUGGGAAACCAGAUGGGACUCCACUUUGACAUGUGAAAAAAGAUCUGGGAUAUAAGUGAUAGGCAAUACAGCAUGCCUUUUUUAGGUUUCAUCCAACAGCCACUGCAGUAAAUGAGAGACUUUCUGCUGAUUUACUGGCCUCAGACCAGGAGCGCUAAAGGAUGCUAGGACUUCACUGUCUGUCGUAAUGCAGUGACAGCCAACUGUGACAUAGCCUUGGUAUAGGGACAUUUUUAGGCAGUUUUUUUUGAGAGGCUGAAGUUCUUUUGUAUAUUAUAGUUCAAGUUGCAUGGGCAAACUGCAGUUACCUUGAUGCACUGCCAGGAUGCAGAGGAGUAGAUGCACAUGAAACUUAUUUCCUGUGGUUUAAGCUCAUUUAAACCUCAGCACAGUUGAUGUUUUGAGCAGAGCUUCAGGCACACAGUUGUUUUUAUUCAAAUACUACUUUUGCUGAUAACACGUGGGCCAGAGCUCAGAGCAGUAUCUCCUACCUGCUUGUCCAUUUGCAGUCGAAAUUGUGCCAGCCCCAUUCUUGUUCCCUAAGUUUCUGUUUCUUUUAAGCAAUCUCUCAUGCAGGUCAGCACAGCUUCUGCCUGUCUUGUCACCGUGACGCAGUACCUCUCUGGGGCUAACUUCCUUCCCAGAUACUUCUCUAGAUAGGUAUCUUCAUUCUUCUGCACCGAGAUAAAAGUUCUCUCACUGGCACAAAUUCUAAGCACAUGCUUGUAUGAGGUGGUUUUUGCUUAAGUAUUUGAUCCUUAAACUUCUGCGGAUUAGGCAUUACCAACACUUGUUGGUUUAAGUAAACAUCCACACACUUCAUAUUCAUCAGCUGGUGUCCCAGAAGGGAUUAAGAGUUGUUUAUCUAGUGAAACCCCAGCAUAUGGUGCCAGCUCUUUCUUGCACCAAUUCUAAUUGCAAACACUGAACUUGUUCUGUAGAAACUGCUAAUUAGGUGAAGCUAACACAUAUGUUUGAGCUAUAAACUAAGGUGGGGUUUUCUCCUUUUUUGCACUUGAAUUACUUGCACAAAUGAGGCUGAAGGUUGACAGAAUAAUUUACACUUUGCUUAGAAAAGUACAAGGAGAAAGUAUUCAGGCAGAUAUAACAUACUUCAGUUCCACUGAAGUUCUUUGCAAAAUAAUGGGCUUAAAAAGUAAUCUUCUGUGUACUAAGUAAACUUAGUGUUCAUGAUUCAUGGCUCUAAUCCCUGUGACUGAAAUUUAAGAUCUAAGGCUCCAUGAAAU